GACACGGUCCAGACUCCUACGGGAGGCAGCAGUAGGGAAUAUUGCUCAAUGGGCGCAAGCCUGRAGCAGCAACGCCGCGUGGAGGAUGAAGGUUUUAGGAUUGUAAACUCCUUUUGUAAGAGAAGAUAAUGACGGUAUCUCACGAAUAARCACCGGCUAACUCCGUGCCAGCAGCCGCGGUAAUACAGAGGGUGCAAGCGUUACUCGGAAUCACUGGGCGUAAAGAGUGCGUAGGCGGGAAGGUCAGUCAGGUGUGAAAUCCUAUGGCUUAACCAUAGAACUGCAUUUGAAACUACUAUUCUAGAGUGUGGGAGAGGUAGGUGG
Molecule: ribosomal RNA, 324 nt
Filed under: uncultured Helicobacter sp.
Lineage: Bacteria; Pseudomonadati; Campylobacterota; Epsilonproteobacteria; Campylobacterales; Helicobacteraceae
Description: bacterial SSU rRNA
Rfam family: Bacterial small subunit ribosomal RNA
Source: RNAcentral